Long non-coding RNA from Suricata suricatta (meerkat), 1678 nucleotides. RefSeq lists it as uncharacterized. Lineage: Eukaryota; Metazoa; Chordata; Mammalia; Carnivora; Herpestidae. The record is from RefSeq and is a predicted model, not a curated record. The transcript is spliced from 2 exons.
GGGCCCUUCAGGGAUCCUGCCCGGGCACCGCCGUCCGCACCCUGCACACUAAACACCAGCAGACAUCUGGCCUGGCUGGUUUUCAUGCCGACUGAAGCCAGGAUUAAACCUUGCCCCCACCGCUUUGUAGACCCCUAGACAAUGGCCUUGCUCCCCGCUCCAGACAUUGAGCGUCUGGCCUGCAAGAGAUACAGGCUUGUGUCGGGAGCCCCUUCCCCCUGGUGCAGAUGUGGGACGGGCCUUGCCGGGCCAGUGGCCAGGUCAGGAGGCCACGGUGAUGAACUUGGGUGGCAUCCCUGCCACUCCCAGAGGUGCCUCCAGGGCCUUUCGAUCCUGGUGCCCUGGCUCUGCCUGCCCAGCACAGGGGAGAGGGCCUCCUCGGGAUGCUUCCAGAAGGUCAGGCAGGCCGUCUGCUGAGCCGGGGCUUGUGGCCUGCGGCGGCCCAGCCCUCACCGCCGGGUGCGCUCAGUUACAGGAAGGGAGUUCAUGGCUCCACCAACAGGUGAAUUUGCACCAAAACACGGAAACGGCGCUGACCAACUGCCAGGGCUCGGGACAUGCAGGCAGCGGGAGAGGGAUUUUCAGGCGUGAGGACCCAGGUCCCGAGUGGCCUGUGCCAGGACCUUGGGUGGUAGCUGACCGUGCACAGCAGUGUCUGUGUGCGGGCCUGGCCAGGGACAGGGCCUGUGAGCCCGAGGGAGACUGAGUCCCCUGCCUGCUUCUGCGGGGGAGCGUGAGACUGAACUCGUGGCCUGUCCACGCAGGCCUCGCCAGCGGAGGCGGGACUAAGGAUUCGUGUCCAGCAGACGUUUUUAAAUUCCAAACACACGUCCACCAUGUCCGUGGCUUCCUGGGUGUUAUGUGGAAACGGCACAAUGGACGUGCACCAUGGCUGUCCUGCCCCUGAGCAGGGAAGGACCCAUGGGCCUGGGGCCAUGCCCCUGGGGCACAAGUGCGCUGCACUGCCGGCCCCAGCCCCUCGCGGCCACCUGCGGGGAGCCUGAGCGCCCUGACGCCUCUGGAGAGGACAGGAGGCACAGGGUCGCCUACGGCCCCGACACUGAGCAGUGUGGACUGAGGACUUCACAGACUCAGGCCGUCUUACCCAACUCCUGUUCCCCGUGGAGUUUUUUAAAUUUACGUUUAUACUUUUUUGUUCUAUGUGCUUCUUACCAUCACAGACUGAAACGUACCACGUGGAACCUUGGGACAUCUUUCCGACAGGCGUACCCCGUCCUGAGCUGCCCCCAGAUCGGGCUUUGUUCAGUAAGGCCCAGGAGGAGACUCUCACUUGGGACUUGGCUGAGCCGCCCGGUCCAGGACCGGCUGGUAUUCUUGAGCAGCCGGGAGCCCCUCCGGAGCUCUGCCCUGCAGGCGCCAGGCGGCUUUGGCCCAGUCAGGAGGCCGUGAGCAACAGAAUUCACCGAAAACCCUGGAAGCGGCCCUCUGGGCUGACACUGGGCGCCCUGUCCGGGCAGCCUGCUUCAGAAGUUACCCAGACGGAGAAGAAACACAGGCAUUUCCUUACCCACAGACAGUGGGCGGCCUUGGUGGCAGCGGCCCGGUGAGGUUCCGAGACGAAAAUCAGGCGCUCGAGUGCCAAGGGGACAGCGUCCCGUCUGGAGCCCCUUCGUGUGGCUGCUGAUAAUGAAAUAAAUCUUGGGUGGCUCUGUAAAAA